AAUUGUGCGACGAACUAGGUUCAGUUGAUGUAAAUUUUUGAAAUCAUCACUGGGCUUUGUUUGUCGCACAAC
This 72-nucleotide microRNA precursor is filed under the name Mayetiola destructor (Hessian fly). Its description in RNAcentral is "microRNA mir-3". It matches the Rfam family "mir-3 microRNA precursor family". The record is from RNAcentral. Lineage: Eukaryota; Metazoa; Arthropoda; Insecta; Diptera; Cecidomyiidae.